CUGUAGGCUGCAACUCGCCUACACGAAGCUGGAAUCGCUAGUAAUCGCGGAUCAGCACGCCGCGGUGAAUACGUUCCCGGGCCUUGUACACACCCGCCCGUCACACCAUGAGAGUCUGUAACACCCAAAGCCGGUGGGAUAACCUUUAUAGGAGUCAGCCGUCUAAGGUAGGACAGAUGAUUAGGGUGAAGUCGUAACAAGGUAAC
RNAcentral lists this ribosomal RNA (206 nucleotides) under uncultured bacterium. RNAcentral's name for it is "partial 16S ribosomal RNA". It matches the Rfam family "Bacterial small subunit ribosomal RNA", at positions 1298 to 1500 of the family's 1533-position model. The record is from RNAcentral.